CCUACGGGAGGCAGCAGUGGGGGAUAUUGCACAAUGGGGGGAACCCUGAUGCAGCGACGCCGCGUGGGUGAAGGAGCGUUUCGGCGCGUAACGCCCUAUCGGCAGGGAAGAAAAUGACAGUACCUGACCAAGAAGCCCCGGCUAACUACGUGCCAGCAGCCGCGGGAAUACGUAGGGGGCAAGCGUUAGCAGGAUUUACUGGGUGUAAGGGGAGCGUAGACGGUUAUGUAAGUCUGGAGGGAAAGCCCGGGGCCCAACCCCGGGACUGCUUUGGAAACUGUGUAACUGGAGUACAGGAGGGGCAGGCGGAAUUCCUGGUGUAGCGGUGAAAUGCGUAGAUAUCAGGAGGAACACCGGCGGCGAAGGCGGCCUGCUGGACUGAAACUGACGUUGAGGCUCGAAAGCGUGGGGAGCAAACAGGAUUAGAUACCCCAGUAGUC
RNAcentral lists this ribosomal RNA (440 nucleotides) under uncultured bacterium. RNAcentral describes it as "partial 16S ribosomal RNA". It matches the Rfam family "Bacterial small subunit ribosomal RNA", at positions 338 to 795 of the family's 1533-position model. The record is from RNAcentral.